Molecule: ribosomal RNA, 214 nt
Filed under: uncultured bacterium
Lineage: Bacteria
Description: partial 16S ribosomal RNA
Rfam family: Bacterial small subunit ribosomal RNA
Source: RNAcentral
UCUCAGUUCAGAUUGCGGGCUGCAACCCGCCUGCAUGAAGUCGGAAUUGCUAGUAAUCGCGGAUCAGCAUGCCGCGGUGAAUACGUUCCCGGGCCUUGUACACACCGCCCGUCACACCAUGGGAGCCGGUAAUACCCGAAGUCAGUAGUCCAACCUCGUGAGGACGCUGCCGAAGGUAGGAUUGGCGACUGGGGUGAAGUCGUAACAAGGUAUC